GAUGAACGCUGGCGGCGUGCCUAAUACAUGCAAGUCGAGCGAACAGAUGAGGAGCUUGCUCCUCUGACGUUAGCGGCUGACGGGUGAGUAACACGUGGAUAACCUACCUAUAAGACUGGGAUAACUUCGGGAAACCGGAGCUAAUACCGGAUAAUAUAUUGAACCGCAUGGUUCAAUAGUGAAAGACGGUUUUGCUGUCACUUAUAGAUGGAUCCGCGCCGCAUUAGCUAGUUGGUAAGGUAACGGCUUACCAAGGCGACGAUGCGUAGCCGACCUGAGAGGGUGAUCGGCCACACUGGAACUGAGACACGGUCCAGACUCCUACGGGAGGCAGCAGUAGGGAAUCUUCCGCAAUGGGCGAAAGCCUGACGGAGCAACGCCGCGUGAGUGAUGAAGGUCUUCGGAUCGUAAAACUCUGUUAUUAGGGAAGAAAAAAUGUGGAAGUAACUAUGCACGUCUUGACGGUACCUAAUCAGAAAGCCACGGCUAACUACGUG
This 497-nucleotide ribosomal RNA is filed under the name uncultured bacterium. RNAcentral's name for it is "partial 16S ribosomal RNA". It matches the Rfam family "Bacterial small subunit ribosomal RNA", at positions 28 to 507 of the family's 1533-position model. The record is from RNAcentral.